Molecule: ribosomal RNA, 427 nt
Filed under: uncultured bacterium
Lineage: Bacteria
Description: bacterial SSU rRNA
Rfam family: Bacterial small subunit ribosomal RNA
Source: RNAcentral
AUUGAACGCUGGCGGCAUGCCUAACACAUGCAAGUCGAACGGAGAUAGGGGCAACCUUAUUUCAGUGGCGGACGGGUGAGGAAUGCGUCGGAAUCUGCCCUAUGGUGGGGGAUAACACAGGGAAACUUGUGCUAAUACCGCAUAAUGUCGAGAGACCAAAGCAGGGGACCGCAAGGCCUUGCGCGAUAGGAUGAGCCCGCGUCCCAUCAGCUAGUUGGUAGGGUAAUGGCCUACCAAGGCUACGACGGGUAGCUGGUCUAAGAGGAUGGCCAGCCACACUGGAACUGAGACACGGUCCAGACUCCUACGGGAGGCAGCAGUGGGGAAUCUUGCGCAAUGGGCGAAAGCCUGACGCAGCGACGCCGCGUGGGUGACGAAGGCCUCGGUUGUAAGCCGUGUGGGUAGGAACGGAACUAGGCGAUCGGGC